ACUCAGUUCACUUGAAAAUGAGUGUUUAGCCAGCUCUCCUGCUCAAUGUGGGAGCAUCCUGCGCGCGAGCACAACCAUCCCCCAUCGGAACGCCGUUACUUAUCCCUUUACCUCACCCCUCUGCCCCCACCCCCGCGUGCGCUCUUUUCCUCUCACAAUCUCUUCUCUACUACUAGGCAUCAAGCUGGGCUAGUGAUGUGGCGAUGAGUUCUGUACACUCAAGCUUCGCUUCUCGGCUCCUAGCUUUUCCAGAGUCUCUCAGUGAACCUGAUCUGGUAGCCGCUGUGGCUCCAGCUAAAGGUUAGUGUAAACAAGUUGUGUGUGUGUGGUGGUCCCGGCUCUCUCUCUGCGGUCUACGAUUGUGAGUGUUUCUUACUCCACUCCACCCUCUUGGCCUGAGAGCGUUGUUGUCGGCCAUCCAUGGGACUGUGUGAGUAACAUAAGGCAAGUGACUGAUUCUUACUCAGCAUUGGAGGCUGUAACAUCAUGAGUGCUGUUGUUUGGAAUUCCAGACUGCGGAGAUGGUCGUGUCCGUUGCAGCAUCAACUGUCUCCCGAAGUGCUCUCUUGGUGACGGUUUGACAUGACGUCAUUCCUCUCAAGUUUUCCUGUAGUAGGAAAGGGCAUAUCACGAGAGAGUACUGUGCCAGGUAAACACUCAUAAAGAA
Aplysia californica (California sea hare) is the source of this 667-nucleotide long non-coding RNA. RefSeq lists it as uncharacterized. The record is from RefSeq and is a predicted model, not a curated record. Lineage: Eukaryota; Metazoa; Mollusca; Gastropoda; Aplysiida; Aplysiidae. The transcript is spliced from 2 exons.